GACGAACGCUGGCGGCGCGCUUAACACAUGCAAGUCGAGCGAUGAAAUUUCGACAGAACCCUUCGGGGUGAAGAUGAAAUGGAUUAGCGGCGGACGGGUGAGUAACACGUGAGUAACCUGCCUUAGACAUUGGGAUAGCCUCGGGAAACCGGGAUUAAUACCAAAUGAAAUCACAUAUGCACAUGCAUAAAUGAUCAAAGCUCCGGCGGUCUAAGAUGGACUCGCGUCCCAUUAGCUAGUUGGUGAGGUAACGGCCCACCAAGGCGACGAUGGGUAGCCGGCCUGAGAGGGUGAACGGCCACAUUGGAACUGAGAAACGGUCCAAACUCCUACGGGAGGCAGCAGUGGGGAAUAUUGCACAAUGGAGGGAACUCUGAUGCAGCGACGCCGCGUGAACGAAGAAGGCUUUCGAGUCGUAAAGUUCUUUUAUAUGGGAAGAUAAUGACGGUACCAUAAGAAAAAGCCCCGGCUAACUACGUGCCAGCAGCCGCGGUAAUACGUAGGGGGCUAGCGUUGUCCGGAAUCACUGGGCGUAAAGGGUUCGCAGGCGGAAAUGUAAGUCAGGUGUAAAAGGCAGUAGCUUAACUACUGUAAGCAUUUGAAACUGCAUAUCUUGAGAAGAGUAGAGGUAAGUGGAAUUUUUAGUGUAGCGGUGAAAUGCGUAGAUAUUAAAAAGAAUACCGGUGGCGAAGGCGACUUACUGGGCUCAUUCUGACGCUGAGGAACGAAAGCGUGGGUAGCAAACAGG
This 748-nucleotide ribosomal RNA is filed under the name uncultured Peptoniphilus sp. RNAcentral's name for it is "bacterial SSU rRNA". It matches the Rfam family "Bacterial small subunit ribosomal RNA", at positions 28 to 776 of the family's 1533-position model. Lineage: Bacteria; Bacillati; Bacillota; Tissierellia; Tissierellales; Peptoniphilaceae. The record is from RNAcentral.